This 287-nucleotide long non-coding RNA is filed under the name Setaria italica (foxtail millet). Its description in RNAcentral is "long non-coding RNA (SITA_LNC005083)". Lineage: Eukaryota; Viridiplantae; Streptophyta; Magnoliopsida; Poales; Poaceae. The record is from RNAcentral.
CCUGUUUGUAUCCGCUUAUAAGCGGCUUAUGGGCGAAAAUAAGCGAAAAUCCCACCCAAACGCCUCGCUUAUUUUUCGCUUAGCACACAAGCGGCUUAGCCCAGAAUCCACAAAACAACUGGAUCUCCGAUUUUCUGGUAAGCAGCUCGGGAGACGCUUAUCUCGUAAGCGAACUCCCUUUCCCCCGAUACCCUCUGCCGGCCGCCGGCUCCCGCGCUCCGCCGGCACCUCCCUCCACGGCCGCCGCCUCCCGCGCUCCGCCGGCACCUCCCUCCACGGCCGCCGCC